RNAcentral lists this ribosomal RNA (301 nucleotides) under uncultured bacterium. Its description in RNAcentral is "partial 16S ribosomal RNA". It matches the Rfam family "Bacterial small subunit ribosomal RNA", at positions 509 to 807 of the family's 1533-position model. The record is from RNAcentral.
CAGUAGCCACGGUAAUACGAAGGGUGCAAGCGUUAAUCGGAAUUACUGGGCGUAAAGCGCGCGUAGGUGGUUUGGUAAGAUGGAUGUGAAAUCCCCGGGCUCAACCUGGGAACUGCAUCCAUAACUGCCUGACUAGAGUACGGUAGAGGGUGGUGGAAUUUCCUGUGUAGCGGUGAAAUGCGUAGAUAUAGGAAGGAACACCAGUGGCGAAGGCGACCACCUGGACUGAUACUGACACUGAGGUGCGAAAGCGUGGGGAGCAAACAGGAUUAGAUACCCCUGUAGUCCCUGUCUCUUAUAC